AGAGUUUGAUUAUGGCUCAGGACGAACGCUGGCGGCAUGCCUAACACAUGCAGGUCGAACGGGUGUAGCAAUACACUAGUGGCGAACGGGUGAGUAACACGUGAGCAACCUGCCUUCCACUGGGGAACAACGUUGGGAAACCGACGCUAAUACCGCAUAAGACCACAGAGGGGAAUCCCUUAGGGGUAAAAACUACGGUGGUGGAAGAUGGGCUCGCGGCCAAUUAGCUAGUAGGCGGGGUAACGGCCCACCUAGGCGACGAUUGGUAGCCGACCUGAGAGGGUGAACGGCCACACUGGGACUGAGAUACGGCCCAGACUCCUACGGGAGGCAGCAGUGGGGAAUAUUGGGCAAUGGGCUAACGCCUUACCCAGCAAUGCCGCGUGAGUGAUGAAGGUCUUCGGAUUGUAAAGCUCUUUAGUUAGGGAAGAAAAAAAUGACGGUACCUAAAGAAUAAGCCCCGGCUAACUACGUGCCAGCAGCCGCGGUAAUACGUAGGGGGCAAGCGUUGUUCGGAAUGACUGGGCGUAAAGGGUGCGUAGGCGGCUUAAUAAGUUGCAAGUGUAAUACCUCGGGCUUAACCCAGGUGCUGCUUGCAAAACUGUUGGGCUUGAGUAGAGAAGAGGUGAGCGGAAUUUCCGGUGUAGCGGUGGAAUGCGUAGAUAUCGGAAGGAACAUCUGCGGCGAAGGCGGCUCACUGGUCUCACACUGACGCUGAGGCACGAAAGUGCGGGGAGCAAACAGGAUUAGAUACCCUGGUAGUCCGCACCGUAAACGAUGGAUACUAGAUGUGGGGGGUAUCGACUCCCUCCGCGUCGCAGUUAACACAAUAAGUAUCCCGCCUGGGGAGUACGGCCGCAAGGUUGAAACUCAAAGAAAUUGACGGGGACCCGCACAAGCAGCGGAGCAUGCGGUUUAAUUCGAAGCAACGCGAAAAACCUUACCAAGACUUGACAUCCUGCGCCACGCCCCCAAAAGGGCGCUUCCGAAAGGACGCAGAGACAGGUGUUGCAUGGUUGUCGUCAGUUCGUGUCGUGAGAUGUUCGGUUAAGUCCGGCAACGAACGCAACCCUUAUCCUUAGUUGCCAAUAUUUAGCUAGGAACUCUGAGGAGACCGCCGUGGAUAACACGGAGGAAGGUGGGGAUGACGUCAAAUCAUCACGGCCCUUACGUCUUGGGCUACACACGUGCUACAAUGGCUAUUACAAAGAGCAGCAAACUCGUAAGAGGGAGCAAAUCUCAAAAAGAUAGUCUCAGUUCGGAUUGAGGGCUGAAACCCGCCCUCAUGAAGUCGGAGUUGCUAGUAAUCCCGAAUCAGCAUGUCGGGGUGAAUGCGUUCCCGGGUCUUGUACACACCGCCCGU
RNAcentral lists this ribosomal RNA (1363 nucleotides) under uncultured bacterium. Its description in RNAcentral is "bacterial SSU rRNA". It matches the Rfam family "Bacterial small subunit ribosomal RNA". The record is from RNAcentral.